CCCGCCACUAUACCAGUCUCUGUGUCUGGGUAUAUUCCAGUGGUGAGCUUAUAGCAACCUCGUCUUAGGAAACAGGGCUCCUCUGCAUGUGAUCUGCCCUGUGCCGUAAGGCAGAGAACACUG
Molecule: small nucleolar RNA, 123 nt
Organism: Pseudophryne corroboree (corroboree frog)
Lineage: Eukaryota; Metazoa; Chordata; Amphibia; Anura; Myobatrachidae
Product: small nucleolar RNA SNORA65
Exons: 1
Source: RefSeq, a predicted model, not a curated record